Molecule: ribosomal RNA, 121 nt
Filed under: Pteropus alecto (black flying fox)
Lineage: Eukaryota; Metazoa; Chordata; Mammalia; Chiroptera; Pteropodidae
Source: RNAcentral
GUCUACAGCCAUGCUACCCUGAUCAAGCCCUAUGCUGUCUGAUCUCGGAAGCUAAGCAGAGUCGGGCCUGGUUAGUACUCGGAUAGGAGAGACCACCUAGGAAGACCAGGUGCUGUAGGUG